AUGGCACCAUCCAUGAGUCUUGCAGCGAAAGGUCCGCUCCCCUUUGGAGUGCUCCCCUCGAGCGGCGUCGCACAGAGGCCGGUGUCGGUGACCGCCUCACUGGAGCACAAGAGUGAUUAUAAGAGGAAGCUCCUGAAGUGGUUGCCUCCCUGGCCUUACUGCUGCUGCUGGUUGCUUCCCCGUCCCCUUCCCCUACAGUGCUAUAUUGCAUCACUGAUCUGCACUGUUUGGUCACUAUUGGUGGUGCUGCUGCUGUGGUUGUUGGAGGUGUUGCUGUUGCAUCUGGCGGAGCUGCCAUUGGGGCCCCAAAAGGAAUUCUACCUGAAGAAAUUCAGAGAAAGCUUGAAGCCCCAGUUAGCGACUUGCUUUAUAUCCACCAUCCGGCGCCGUGGUGUGUGCUUGGCCGACUUUGUGUGCCUGCCGAUCUCCCUCGGUUGGUACGGCCCCGCCGAGGAUGACGGCCGACGGCUCAUCAAGAGCCAUUGCUACUGGACGGAGGGCGCCGCCAACUUCUACAUGCGCCCCAUCGAGGGCCUCACCAUGCUCAUUGACAUGGACACCGGGAAGGUCGUCCACAUCUCCGACUGCGGCACGGGCAUCCCCAUCCCAGCCGCCAAGAACACCUACUACCGUCGUGCCGCCAACGAUGACGAUGACACUGAUAAAUUCGGGUACCAGAUGGUACGGGAGCGGUCGAUGGAACCGGCGUCGGAGGGCCUAGGGUUCGAGGUGUUGGAUGGGCACACGGUGCGGUGGGACGGGUGGGAGUUCCACCUGAAGGCAGACGCGUGCGCCGGGCUGAUCAUGUCUUGCGCGACGAUGCAGGAUCAGGCCACCGGGCACAGAGGGAGGUGA
Molecule: ribosomal RNA, 855 nt
Filed under: Triticum aestivum (bread wheat)
Lineage: Eukaryota; Viridiplantae; Streptophyta; Magnoliopsida; Poales; Poaceae
Description: partial small subunit ribosomal RNA
Source: RNAcentral